This 1220-nucleotide long non-coding RNA is filed under the name Dromaius novaehollandiae (emu). Its description in RNAcentral is "lncRNA (ENSDNVG00000007545.1)". The record is from RNAcentral. Lineage: Eukaryota; Metazoa; Chordata; Aves; Casuariiformes; Dromaiidae.
AGAAGAAUGGAUUUGCAUGUUCCCAUUCAGUUGCUCUUAACUUCAGACAUAAGUAUUCCAGUUUUUUGAGUGCCGGACUACUAGUUUCUAUGAUAGGGCUGCCAUAUGCUUCUUUUCCUAGUCUCUGGUGAGUUACAAGGGUGUGUGCUGCCUCUGUGGUUCAAAGAAGACACUGUAUAAAAAUGGCUAAAUGCUCAUGUUCCCCACUUUCCCCUGUGCCUGCUGUAAGGGUUCAGGCAUAGGACAGGAAGUGAGCAAGAAGGCGAGGUAGGGGGUAGGGCUUACCAGGUGGCCUGCCACAGGUGUUCUGCAUAGCAGGCAGGAGUAGAGAUGCUGGGCUGUAAGGGAGGCAGCUUGACUAUGGGCAGUCCAGCAGUAACCCCAAGCCAGAAGAUCACUUUUUGUUUUGCUUGGUGUCAGCUCCUGAGGCGAGCAUCUUGGAGACCUAGCAAGAUGAGCCCUGCAGCCAAAUUCUGUCUGUCUACUGAGAAUGCGAGAGGCAUUUGUACAGCUCCUGGUAUGGCUGGCAGUAUCUGAGACUCUUGCAACCUUCCAACGUAUGCCGCUGUAAAGCUGAAAGGUGACUUUAUUGCAGUUUUUAUACAAAGAAAGAGCAGAAAUGCAUCAAAGGUAAAGGAUAAAAUCCAUGGCAGCCGUGGUCAUUUAUUUUUGUCUGAUCUAUACCCAGUGUAUGCUUCAGCUGUACACACUACUUAGGUGGUGGUUUGUGUUUUUUUUUUGUUUUGUUUUUUUUUUUUGUUUUUUUUGGUUGGACACUUUCAGCUUGUGCUUAUAUGAUGAGAAGAAAGAAGAAACACAAACUGGUUCUCUAGUGUCAAGGUGUGCGCCUGGAGACCAGAAGAACAAUGAAGAGUUAAAAAGGAAGAAGUCAGAAGUUGUUUAAAGAAGACGGUUUGUCACAGAGAACACGAGUGAGCGUGUGUAUGCGUGCACUGUGGAAGAGAGUCUACAGACAGACUCUUCCAGAGGUAAGGAGUAGUAAGUCUGAAAGAAGAGCUACGUACAUGUACGGUCUAUCUAGUUACUAAGGCAGCAGCAUUUCAGAGAAGCAUGGUACUGUGCUUUGUAAAGACUUGUAUGGUCAGACUUUAUUCGUGUUUUUGCCCUGGAGGAUUGAAUUGCAGAGUUUGAGUCUCAGAUCUGCUGAGGUAAACACUGUUAGGAAUAGGGAUAGCAAGGAGUCAAGGUUCAAAGUGAGA